GACGAACGCUGGCGGCGUGCUUAACACAUGCAAGUCGAACGGAAAGGCCCUGCUUUUGUGGGGUGCUCGAGUGGCGAACGGGUGAGUAACACGUGAGUAACCUGCCCUUGACUUUGGGAUAACUUCAGGAAACUGGGGCUAAUACCGGAUAGGAGCUCCUGCUGCAUGGUGGGGGUUGGAAAGUUUCGGCGGUUGGGGAUGGACUCGCGGCUUAUCAGCUUGUUGGUGGGGUAGUGGCUUACCAAGGCUUUGACGGGUAGCCGGCCUGAGAGGGUGACCGGCCACAUUGGGACUGAGAUACGGCCCAGACUCCUACGGGAGGCAGCAGUGGAGAAUAUUGCACAAUGGGCGGAAGCCUGAUGCAGCAACGCCGCGUGCGGGAUGACAGCCUUCGGGUUGUAAACCGCUUUCGCCUGUGACGAAGCGUGAGUGACGGUAAUGGGUAAAGAAGCACCGGCUAACUACGUG
Molecule: ribosomal RNA, 468 nt
Filed under: uncultured bacterium
Lineage: Bacteria
Description: partial 16S ribosomal RNA
Rfam family: Bacterial small subunit ribosomal RNA
Source: RNAcentral